AAUAUUCAUUACCUUUCAAUAAAAAUUACAAAGCAUAAAACAAAUUGGAACUAGACAAUGAACGAUUGCGUUAACACAAGACACCGUAAUUCAGCGAGAAAAUAAAUGGCCACCGUAUCCAGCGCCAAGCGUUCACUGCAUACUAAAGGUGACUGCAGUCACCUGUCAAAAUCUGACAUUAGUUAACAACAAGUGUGGUUGCCUCACCUCAAAGAGCAGCAACCAUAUGGUGAAGUGUAAAGCAACGCUCCUAUGAGAAACCAGUGACCACGUGUCGCUUUUAGCAGACUACACAAUGUUACAAAUGUCAAGUGUCUUGAGCGAGAAAGAAAUCGAACGCUGGAAGAGUAGGAAAGAAAGUAAGCAGCCUACCACUCCUUUUAACGGCUUCUGACAUCAUGGCUGACGAUCGUUGCCCGUGGGCAGAACCUCGGGCAACGCUGACUACCCACUAGUCGAAUCGUGUGCACACGCUUUUUGUAAAAAAUCUAAAUAAUUGCUGACAUUAUUCUUUGUCACGAACUGUCGGUACUAAAUCUGGGAAUCAAAUAUAUGAAAAAUUCUGAAUUUAAAACUGACAGUUUGAAUGGUAUAUUUGUAAAGUUAUAAAUAUGAAGUUAUGAAAUUCAUAGACUUCUAUAUUUAACAGUUUGAGUUUAUAAGUUGAACAUUUUUUAAUUUCCCAUUUUGAAAAAUAUACAGUCUGAAUUUAUAGACUUGAAAAUCUGUGAAUUUAUAGACCUGAAAAUCUGUAAAUUUGAAAGGAUUAUCCUAUUGUCCUGAUAAAGCGUCGAAGUCGAUCUCGAAACAAACGAUAUAUCGAUACGCCACGUGUUCCUCUUUGUGACGCUAAAUCCGAAGUAUUUUUAUGUAUAUAGAGUGGCAUACGGUGACGCUCAGCAGUGACCCGGCAGUCAAUACGUUAAUAGGUUAACGCCGAAAGAAACGGAGGAAUUUCUUGUGGCUAGAAAUACGAAGACGAGAAUUCUUGGAAUUCCAGUUUGAUUCGUAUGAUUUUAUAGCAUGGCCGGAGAUCAAGCCGUUCAUGUCACCUACAAGAAUGGCGCGUAGCUUAGGUAUCUUUCUGGUGUAGCAUGAAAAUAGCCAAGUGUACUUGGAAUAUCGCGCGGCCUACGCAUUAGGCAUGCUACAACGGCGUUCACCAGGCGUUCGCACUCGCACACGCUCGUGCAAGCGAGACCGAGAGAGGUUGGCCGACUCCUUCGGGAAGUGGGGGAAUACGUACGAGGGAAGACCGUUGAGGAAAAAGAAAGAAACAGAGUGCGAACAAAGAAAAGGAUAAAAUAUCCGGGAGAGGGAGAAAGGCCGCGAACCAGAGACAGGUAGAUAAAUGUGGUUUACGGCAGGAAGGUAAAGGACAGACAACGUUGCUGUCGCGUCGUGUCUGUCGAGUGUACCGGGUCAGAAACGAAAGGAGGAACAAUUGCGAGAAUCAGCUGCAGAAGGGUAGAGAGAAAAACAGGAAGAGAGGAAAACUGGAAAAAGAAAGGUAGAUUUCAAGAGAGCAGGUAAAACGGGGAUUAAUAAGGAUAAAGAACACAAAGAGACAGAAGGGUAGCUGGAAUACGGAGGAGCUUGAACCGGAGAGCCAAGAGAGGUUAGGAUUUAAGAGUCGACGAUUAUAAACAGCGAGGUCGAGAAGAGGAUUCACCAGAACGAUGACGAGCAUUUGUCACGCAGAUGCGUUAUCGCGUUGCGAAACUUCAGAAACGAUGACAGAAAUAUACUUUCGAACAGACGCUGAAGAUACGUGGCAAACUGAUCGAAGAAUUUAUGAAGUAGAAGUAACGGAAGUCGAUGCGUUUUUAAAGUGAUAAAAAUAUCCUUGCAUUCUGCGGUAAUCAUGCAGAAAAGGUAUGUACAAACUUUUCAAUAAAAUUUUCAAAGAUAAUGAA
Megachile rotundata (alfalfa leafcutting bee) is the source of this 1916-nucleotide long non-coding RNA. The record is from RefSeq and is a predicted model, not a curated record. Lineage: Eukaryota; Metazoa; Arthropoda; Insecta; Hymenoptera; Megachilidae.